This 492-nucleotide ribosomal RNA is filed under the name uncultured bacterium. Its description in RNAcentral is "partial 16S ribosomal RNA". It matches the Rfam family "Bacterial small subunit ribosomal RNA", at positions 29 to 507 of the family's 1533-position model. The record is from RNAcentral.
AGUGAACGCUGGCGGUAGGCCUAACACAUGCAAGUCGAACGGCAGCACAGUAAGAGCUUGCUCUUACGGGUGGCGAGUGGCGGACGGGUGAGGAAUACAUCGGAAUCUACUUUUUCGUGGGGGAUAACGUAGGGAAACUUACGCUAAUACCGCAUACGACCUACGGGUGAAAGCAGGGGAUCUUCGGACCUUGCGCGAUUGAAUGAGCCGAUGUCGGAUUAGCUAGUUGGCGGGGUAAAGGUCCACCAAGGCGACGAUCCGUAGCUGGUCUGAGAGGAUGAUCAGCCACACUGGAACUGAGACACGGUCCAGACUCCUACGGGAGGCAGCAGUGGGGAAUAUUGGACAAUGGGCGCAAGCCUGAUCCAGCCAUACCGCGUGGGUGAAGAAGGCCUUCGGGUUGUAAAGCCCCUUUGUUGGGAAAGAAAAGCAGCAGGUUAAUACCCCGCUGUUCUGACGGUACCCAAAGAAUAAGCACCGGCUAACUUCGUG